This 358-nucleotide long non-coding RNA is filed under the name Ananas comosus (pineapple). Its description in RNAcentral is "long non-coding RNA (ACOM_LNC013537)". The record is from RNAcentral. Lineage: Eukaryota; Viridiplantae; Streptophyta; Magnoliopsida; Poales; Bromeliaceae.
CUCAUAGUCUCAUUUUGCAAACUUUGAAUUUUAUUGCGAAUUGUAAUUGAUAUUUUUGAUUUUUAUAGUUGAUAUUGUUAUUUAUAUAUAACUUGAUAAUAUUAUUAAUUAAUAUUAAAAAUUUUGUUGAUUUAUAUUUAUAAAAUGUUAAUAAUAUUAAAAUUUGUAAAACAAAUACUAUUUGGCGGGGUAGAUUCAGGGCGCCGGCGGGAGGCGGGUUAUGAGCCGGGGCGGAUCAUGGGAUAACUAUUUUCAACCCGUCACGGAUUCGGGGCGGGAGGCGAGGAGGACUUUUCGUAGUCAGGGCGGGAGGCGGGGCGGGGCUCCCGCCCCAGAUCCGCCCCGUUUGCAUCCCUAU